This 868-nucleotide ribosomal RNA is filed under the name Burkholderia sp. RNAcentral's name for it is "bacterial SSU rRNA". It matches the Rfam family "Bacterial small subunit ribosomal RNA", at positions 11 to 872 of the family's 1533-position model. Lineage: Bacteria; Pseudomonadati; Pseudomonadota; Betaproteobacteria; Burkholderiales; Burkholderiaceae. The record is from RNAcentral.
GAUUGAUCAUGGGCUCAGAUUGAACGCUGGCGGCAUGCCUUACACCAUGCAAGUCGAACGGCAGCACGGGUGCUUGCACCUGGUGGCGAGUGGCGAACGGGUGAGUAAUACAUCGGAACAUGUCCUGUAGUGGGGGAUAGCCCGGCGAAAGCCGGAUUAAUACCGCAUACGAUCUACGGAUGAAAGCGGGGGACCUUCGUGCCUCGCGCUAUAGGGUUGGCCGAUGGCUGAUUAGCUAGUUGGUGGGGUAAAGUCCUCCCAAGGCGACGAUCAGUAGCUUGUCUGAGAGGACGACCAGCCACACUGGGACUGAGACACGGCCCAGACUCCUUCGGGAGGCAGCAGUGGGGAAUUUUGGACAAUGGGCGAAAGCCUGAUCCAGCAAUGCCGCGUGUGUGAAGAAGGCCUUCGGGUUGUAAAGCACUUUUGUCCGGAAAGAAAUCCUUGGCUCUAAUACAGUCGGGGGAUGACGGUACCGGAAGAAUAAGCACCGGCUAACUACGUGCCAGCAGCCGCGGUAAUACGUAGGGUGCAAGCGUUAAUCGGAAUUACUGGGCGUAAAGCGUGCGCAGGCGGUUUGCUAAGACCGAUGUGAAAUCCCCGGGCUCAACCUGGGAACUGCAUUGGUGACUGGCAGGCUAGAGUAUGGCAGAGGGGGGUAGAAUUCCACGUGUAGCAGUGAAAUGCGUAGAGAUGUGGAGGAAUACCGAUGGCGAAGGCAGCCCCCUGGGCCAAUACUGACGCUCAUGCACGAAAGCGUGGGGAGCAAACAGGAUUAGAUACCCUGGUAGUCCACGCCCUAAACGAUGUCAACUAGUUGUUGGGGAUUCAUUUCCUUAGUAACGUAGCUAACGCGUGAAGUGACCGC